CCUACGGUGUGCAGCAGUAGGGAAUUUUCGGCAAUGGGGGGAACCCUGACCGAGCAACGCCGCGUGAACGAAGAAGUUAUUCGUAAUGUAAAGUUCUUUUAACAGGGCAGAAAGAGAAAUUUGACGGUACCUGAAGAAUAAGCUCCUGCUAACUCUGUGCCAGCAGCCGCGGUAAUACGUAGGGAGCGCGCGUUAUCCGGAAUUAUUGGGCGUAAAGGGUGCGUAGGUGGCAUAGUAAGUCUUUUGUACAACUGCUGGGCUCAACCCAGUAGGGCAAAAGAUACUGCAAAGCUAGAGUAUGACAGAGGCAAGUGGAAUGACAUGUGUAGCGGUAAAAUGCGUAAAUAUAUGUAAGAACACCAGUGGCGAAGGCGGCUUGCUGGGUCGAUACUGACAUUGAGGCACGAAAGCGUGGGGAGCAAACGGGAUUAGAUACCCUUGUAGUC
RNAcentral lists this ribosomal RNA (446 nucleotides) under uncultured bacterium. RNAcentral's name for it is "partial 16S ribosomal RNA". It matches the Rfam family "Bacterial small subunit ribosomal RNA", at positions 338 to 795 of the family's 1533-position model. The record is from RNAcentral.